RNAcentral lists this unclassified non-coding RNA (678 nucleotides) under Bombus terrestris (buff-tailed bumblebee). Its description in RNAcentral is "misc RNA ENSBTSG00005038003.1". The record is from RNAcentral. Lineage: Eukaryota; Metazoa; Arthropoda; Insecta; Hymenoptera; Apidae.
AUUCAUCGGUUUGGUUAAAUUUCGCAAAAACCGUGGAAGAAUGAAUGCGGAAUAAAUUGCGUGAAAAAAUAUCUCUGGAUUCUCUUUUGCAGCCGCGAUAUCCAAAGGUAUAAAGGCGCAUUAUAAAUUGAUGGAAAAAGAACACAGGAGCGUAGCGUUGCCGCAAUUUGAUUGCAGCCCCUUAAUGGAUUAAAUCCAUCAAACUGCGCAACCGUAGUUCCUCAACCGCCAUAACAAUUAACUCUAAAAUCUCAGACGCGAUCCGCUAACUGUUUCCUAGCCAAUGCAUCCGCCGCGUAAUGCACAGUCUCGAGGCAUUCGUAACGGCGGAAAGGGGUUGUAACGCGAAACGGGGCAGGGGGCGGGGGCUGCUUGGUUACGUCUUACAGGAGCCAGAGAGCGAGAACAGAAUACGGCACGAGAGGUAUGGGAAGACAUCGGUGAUAGGAGGUGAGAUUGGCCGCCGGUUUACUCCGUCCGGAUGUGCAGUUCAAACGUAGCAUAUCGUCGAUCCGGUAUUUCCUCCUUAACCCGUGUAUCGACGGCCCUUGAGAGGGUAAUUCUGCGGAACAAGAGACGUCAGGUACACACGGGUCCCGGAAGUAUGCGAAGCAUGUUCGAAACACCGCUUUGACGUUCGACCGUUUCCUACGUGUGUGUGUAUAUAUACACGUGCAC